GCCGUCCCGAGGGCAGGGAUGCAGCCCGUGUGCACGAGUGCCAGGCUGCGGUGCCAUGUCCCCACCAUGGAGGACAGAGCGGCCCUUCUUGGGGACAGCAGGCGGGUGAGGUGCCUCAGAGGUGCUGCACCUGGCCCUGGAGGGGCUUUGGGGGACAGGGUCGCAGCGUGGCCUCGGGACGCAGGAGGGAGCCCAGUGUCCUAGCCACCUGGGGUCUGUGAAGUUGGCCCCGUGGAAUUCUGCUUGGGGUCUGGGAAUGCUCCCUGGCCUCUAGGCAGGCGCCUGUGUUGCCAGGGCCCCCAUGGAGCAGCGAGCGCUUCCCAGGACGGGCCUGGUCUGUAGCCCGGAGGCAGGUGCUGUGCUGUAGCUCGCUGGUACCCGGUACCCGGCUCUGAGCUGGACCCCGGCACCGCAGCCCAGCAGGUGGCACUGUCCAUGCCCACUUCCACCCCAGCCCCGGCCUCACCAUUCCUUGGUUGGGCAAAUCGCUGGUGAGCAUCACGGGCCACACAGGGGAAUGCUGUCAGAAUUGUGGCGGAACCUGUUGCACCAACCACGGCCUCCCUAUUCACUGUGCAGCGUGGAUGCACACAAAGGCCGUCGCACCAGCCUCUCAGCGAAGGACUCUGAGCAGACCAACCCGUGUCUCCUCCUCCUUGGGCCUCUGAGGCCACUGGCUCCAGGUCAGGACACUUCAGAGUGGGCUGGGCGGGCCUGUACACAGAGCCACCCCAGGGCUGUCCAGGGAGCACUGGGCACCGCCCCUGCUGGACUCUGAGGGCCGUGCAGCGGGCAGGUGUGAGGUUUAGCCUUGCGCACAGGUGCUGCCCAGAGCUGCUCUCCAAGGCCACGCAUGGGGUCAUGGUUUUAGACCGGGGCGGUGCUGGCCGAGGUCCUGGGGCUGCCGUUGGUGCUGUUGGUGCUGCUGUGGAGCCGUCUUCCCCGGUUGUGCUGCCCAGCAGUCUGUCCCAGAGCCCACCAAGUUUAUGAGGCACCUGAGGAGGACAGGCCAACUGGGUGGACAGGAGGGGGCGCCCCCGCUCUACUGUCCCCUGGGCUGGCAUAGGGGCCCUGGCUGAGCCAGAGCUCAGGGCCUACGGGCCGCUGGAUGGAGCUGCAGCCCCAGCCACCCGCUGUGCAGUUAGG
RNAcentral lists this long non-coding RNA (1146 nucleotides) under Heterocephalus glaber (naked mole-rat). Its description in RNAcentral is "lncRNA (ENSHGLG00000042760.1)". The record is from RNAcentral. Lineage: Eukaryota; Metazoa; Chordata; Mammalia; Rodentia; Bathyergidae.